This 1580-nucleotide long non-coding RNA is filed under the name Pogonomyrmex barbatus (red harvester ant). RNAcentral describes it as "uncharacterized LOC105429671". Lineage: Eukaryota; Metazoa; Arthropoda; Insecta; Hymenoptera; Formicidae. The record is from RNAcentral.
GAUGAGACGCAACACAGAGGAAUCUCAUGUCGCUUUCGUAUCCGAUAACCAUGGUUGUGAAAGAUCCAUUUGGAUUCUUCUCAAUCUCGACGAUCAAUUGCCUUCAUUCGAUUCAGAUCAUCACCAAGAAUCAAAAGGAUGAGUAUAGGCCAUCACAUUGACACUCGGAUACUUCCAAGAUAAUUUAGAUUUUUGAUUAAUUUUGAAUAAAUUAUCAAAGAAACUCGAUCCUCGAUUUCUUGGAGAAGAUUAAAAAAUUAAUCAAAAAAAGAAUCGGACCAACAACAUCUAUAGUCAUAGUGUGUAGAUAAAUUACAUUUCGUGCCUCGUUCUCAAGAUUACGAUAUAGUACUUUCGCGCCGUUAGGAGGUCACAACAAUUUUAGAGAAAAGAAAGCAUCAACUUGUCGCCCGAUCCUCAUAUUCUUUCGUUGUGCGUUGUAGGUUGCGUCGUAGGUGAAAUAAGAGUGUUUCGUUCAACAAUGAAGAGAACAUAUACAGAGAUAGGAAAUCUAAAGAAGAAGUUGAAAGAUAUACGGAAGCAAAUUAGAUUGCUAGAAAAACAGGAGAUCUCAGACUCUUCGGAAUCGGAUAUAUCUAAUAUAUCUAAUAUCGGAAAAUGCAAAGGAACCUGAUCAGGAUGAGGGGACCUUAACCGCUAAUUGUUUUCCCGUGCUUUUUCAGCGCGCUUACACGUAAGACAUGCUGAGAAGGAUUUUGUCCAAUGCGCUUGCACGAGCGGCAAGAUAUAUUGGAAAUAAAACAUAAUCUGGAUUUCUAAAGCGCUUGCACGAGCAGCGAGACAGAUGAAGAAGUGGUAAGAAAUAAUCGUGAGCCAAUCGUCCAAAAAGACGCUAAUGCAACACCCGAAAUUCUCAACAGUGAAGAGAAUUCUUUAAAUAACAGUACUAGAAAUUUUAGGAGAGGAUCCUGCAGUUCCAAAAUCCUUGUCCGUGAAUAUUCACCCAACCUUUUUACAAAGAUGGAAAUAUCGGAUUACUAAUGGCGUACCAAAGAAGGAUAAAGAAGAGUUGCUACAGAAAUAUAUCAGGCCAGAGGAACUGGAAGCACCAAUUCUAAAUCCAGAAAUUGUGGCUAGAGGAAUCUGCCUAUAAAAGGGAUUCUUACAAAAGAGGAACACGGAAGUUGGCUGGUUCAGCACUAACGGUAAUCGGUACUCACAUUAUGUAGUCAAGAGGAGAAAAAGGUAGAUAAGAUGGAUGUACUUGAACAUUUGAUAAACGCAGCCAAACUACUUGCAAUGUUACACUACCUACACACAGAAUGUAGGAAGGCAUUUAUAAUGCCUGGUUUGGCAAAGGAAAUUAAAGCAAUCAUACAGAAUAUUAAGUCAGACACAUUUUUAUUCGGUGAUAAAUUAGGAGAAAAAAUUAAAGAGGGAAAAUCUUUGGAAAGAAUGGGAAAAUCUUUCAAAGUCCAGUCUCCAAAAUGGUUGGGUCCAUCAAGAUCCAGACUUCAAUAUUUCGGAAAAAAAUAGCAAGAAAUCACAGACAAUAGGUCAAUUUUAGAUUAUGUUAGAGAUUAUAAAAUAAAAUUUGAUAAGAAAGUUUCUCAGGGAAA